Non-coding RNA from Salmo salar (Atlantic salmon), 2219 nucleotides. The record is from RefSeq and is a predicted model, not a curated record. NCBI's taxonomy places the organism in Eukaryota, Metazoa, Chordata, Actinopteri, Salmoniformes, Salmonidae.
AAGAAUGGUGUCACAUCCCUCCAACAGAGUUCCAGACAGUUGUAGAAUGUAUUCCAAGGCACAUUGUAAGAGCUGUUAAGAGAGAGGGAGUGGGAGAGAGAACAGGCAGAACCUGAUAUGUAAAUGAGCAGAGCAAAUGAAAGUAACUUUCUUCGACCGAAUGAUCAUUCAGACUCUGUUUCUAUUGAGAGAUAAAAGGCUGGUUGAAUGUGUUGCCUGUGAAAGCUACUUCAUCUGCAAGAAAACAGGCGGCUGCACCAGUGACUGGGUCAGUGCUCCAAAAUGAGUCUCUCUGGGGAGAGAGAGGAGGGGGGCCCUGCCUCUAAAAUGAGUCUCUCUGGGGAACAUGACACCAAAGCUAAGAGGUGAGAUGACAAUUUUGUGUAAGAAUUAUUAAAGAGUUUAUUUCAAAAAUGCUAUUUCCAAAAAUAUUCACAUUUGUUUUUUAAUUAGAAAUGGUUUCUUAUGGGUACCUUCAAUAUUACUGUUCUCAGAUUUUUAAUUAAUAGUUUUUAGAUGUGUAUCAUUUUUUUUUUUUAUAGCAAAACGCUAUAUAUCCACCUAGAUAUCUAUAUAUCCACCUAGAUAUCUAUAUAUCCACCUAGAUAUCUAUAUAUCCACCUAGAUAUCUUUAUAUCCAUUGUUUAGCUGGAAUGGAAUAUUUGUAUUCUGCAUAUUUAACAAUGAUAUGUGGUUGUCUCACCUAGCUAUCUAAAGAUGAAUGCACUUACUGUAAAUCCCUCUGGAUAAGAGCAUCUGCUAAAUCAGGGGUUCUCAAUCGGGGUCUGUGGAGGUACUGCAGGGGCUCCACGGCACCCUGACUGUACUCGUUGCCAUGUAAGACAUUUGAUAGAAUUUUCACAUGACACGACCACUUUGCCUACUCUUAAUUAUUGCCUAAUAUAAUGGAAUACAUAUUUUUUUUACAAUUUCUGAUCGUUGUUACAAGCAGAAUUUUUACAAUAUUACCGUUAUAUCAAAUUAAAUCAAAGUUCAUUUGUCACGUGCGCCGAAUACAACAGGUGUAGACCUUACAGUGAAAUGCUUACUUACAGGCUCUAACCAAUAGUGCAAAAGAAAGGUGUGUGUGUGUGUGUGUGUGUGUGUAGGUAAGUAAAGAAGUAAAACAACAGUAAAAAGACAUUUGAAAAUAAGAGUAGCAAGGUUAUAUACAGACACCGGUGUCGUGUCUUUGGCAUCAUUAAAACAGAAGUCUUAUCUAUCAAAUAACUCUCUGUAAUUAUUAUUACACGAUUAAACUAAUUGAUUGUGUAACUGUAAUUAACUAGGAAGUAGGGGCACCAAGGAAAAUAUUCAGGUUACAAAGUUAGAAUUUUCCUAAUAUAACUUUCAGAUAUCAUAAUAUCUGAUCUGAGUCUUCUGAUUUAUGAUGUAUUCUUUACCUCGUCAGUCUCAUUCCAAACGUCGUAAAUUGUUGGUUAUCUGCAUGAACCCAGUCUUUACUAUGAGUCAUCCAUACGUCAAUUGUCUUAAAAUCAUUUAUUUACUAAACUAAGUAAUUCACAGAAAGGCAUACAAAACAGUAGGUAUCGUUACAAAGAAAUGGUAGAGGAAUGUGCCCUAGUGGGCUAAACCGGCAUGGCGGCUUGUUAAACAAAAGGGGUGGUUCAGAAUUGAAUAUUAUACAGUUGAACUGCUAAUCCUUUGCACAUGAAUGCUCACUCAUUAUAUAUAUAUAUUUGAGCUCAGUGUGUCGUCGGGAUCUUUGUUGGAAAGGUUGUUCUGUUGGGGAGUUCUCUCUCUCUCUCUCUCUCUCUCUCUCUCUCUCUCUCUCUCUCUCUCGGUUAGAAUGGAUCUUUCAAAGCGACAUUCGUUCAUGUCGUUAUAGGACAGGUGUUUCCGGCGGUUGUCACGUUCAAUGAUACCGAAUUCCUAGCUGCAGACUAGUAAUUAAUAUCAAAGACUUGUUCUUAUUCUGUAUCAAUAGUCUAAUAGUUUAACCACGUGGUAUGGUUAAAGUUCAGUAGCUGGAUGCAUGGUCAAACUUAUUAGCCAACUCGUAAUGGAGUGGAGGCCUGGCCUGGGGAAAGAAACCCUGGGUGGGGUUUAUAUUCGGAAUACAGAAAAAGGCUGUCUCAUGACGCCAGGUCCUGUCUGUGUCCCUGGGGGUGUGCCGAUGACUUGGUAAAACUUUAAACAGAAAAUACAAUUCUCUCACAUUAACAUCUUACAAGCAUCCCAACAUAUUCCAAAUAGCU